Unclassified non-coding RNA from Pongo abelii (Sumatran orangutan), 147 nucleotides. It matches the Rfam family "Metazoan signal recognition particle RNA". Rfam says of the family: The signal recognition particle (SRP) is a universally conserved ribonucleoprotein. Lineage: Eukaryota; Metazoa; Chordata; Mammalia; Primates; Hominidae. The record is from Ensembl.
GCUGGGCAUAGUGGCGUGUGCCUGUAGUCCCAGCUACUUGGGAGGCUGAGGCAGAAGAAUCGCUUGAACCCAGGAGGUGGAGGUUUGCAGUGAGUCGAGGUCGUGCCACUGCACUCCAGCCUGGGUGACAGAGUGAGACUCUGCCAA